AUUGAACGCUGGCGGCAUGCUUUACACAUGCAAGUCGAACGGCAACGAGGAGAAGCUUGCUUCUCUGUCGGCGAGUGGCGAACGGGUGAGUAUAGCAUCGGGACGUGCCAAGUAGUGGGGGAUAACCAAACGAAAGUUUGGCUAAUACCGCGUAAGCUCCAAGGAGGAAAGUAGGGGACCUAAAUAAGGCCUUACGCUAUUUGAUCGGCCGAUGUCGGAUUAGCUAGUUGGUGGGGUAAUGGCUCACCAAGGCAAUGAUCCGUAGCGGGUCUGAGAGGACGAUCCGCCACACUGGGACUGAGACACGGCCCAGACUCCUACGGGAGGCAGCAGUGGGGAAUUUUGGACAAUGGGGGAAACCCUGAUCCAGCCAUGCCGCGUGUAUGAAGAAGGCCUUAGGGUUGUAAAGUACUUUUGUUAGGGAAGAAAAGCUAGUUUUUAAUAAAAAUUAGUGAUGACGGUACCUAAAGAAUAAGCACCGGCUAACUACGUG
RNAcentral lists this ribosomal RNA (493 nucleotides) under uncultured bacterium. RNAcentral describes it as "partial 16S ribosomal RNA". It matches the Rfam family "Bacterial small subunit ribosomal RNA", at positions 30 to 507 of the family's 1533-position model. The record is from RNAcentral.